This 406-nucleotide ribosomal RNA is filed under the name uncultured bacterium. RNAcentral describes it as "bacterial SSU rRNA". It matches the Rfam family "Bacterial small subunit ribosomal RNA", at positions 29 to 416 of the family's 1533-position model. The record is from RNAcentral.
AGCGAACGUUAGCGGCAGGCCUAACACAUGCAAGUCGAGCGAGAAAGGGGGCUUCGGCCCUGAGUAAAGCGGCGGACGGGUGAGUAACACGUGGGUAAUGUACCUUCCGGCGGGGGAUAACAAUCCGAAAGGAUUGCUAAUACCGCAUCCGUCGGCGGUCACUGCGGUGACUGCCGGGAAAGGUGGCCACUCCAAGGAAGCUACCACCGGAAGAUCAGCCCGCGUCCCAUCAGCUAGUUGGCGGGGGUAAUGGCCCACCAAGGCAAAGACGGGUAGCUGGUCUGAGAGGAUGAUCAGCCACACUGGAACUGAGACACGGUCCAGACUCCUACGGGAGGCAGCAGUGGGGAAUAUUGGGCAAUGGGCGCAAGCCUGACCCAGCCAUGCCGCGUGAGUGAUGAAGGCC